AAAACCUUCGAGUCACCACUCACCACCCACCAGGCCCAGCUUUCUUAUCUUUACCGGAAAACAUCAUCAUGGAUUCCAAUCCCCAAUCUUGUGAAAACCCUGAAAUCAAAUCAACCGAGGUGCAAACCCAAAACCAAAAUCAAGUUUCUCAAUCCCCAUUUGCUACUGCAUCUCUUUCUUUAUCUUCCUUGCCCCCAACCCUACCUACUCAGUUCUUCAUCCAACCC
This 227-nucleotide long non-coding RNA is filed under the name Gossypium barbadense (sea-island cotton). RNAcentral's name for it is "long non-coding RNA (GBAR_LNC010018)". Lineage: Eukaryota; Viridiplantae; Streptophyta; Magnoliopsida; Malvales; Malvaceae. The record is from RNAcentral.